This 497-nucleotide ribosomal RNA is filed under the name uncultured bacterium. RNAcentral's name for it is "partial 16S ribosomal RNA". It matches the Rfam family "Bacterial small subunit ribosomal RNA", at positions 28 to 507 of the family's 1533-position model. The record is from RNAcentral.
GAUGAACGCUGGCGGCGUGCCUAAUACAUGCAAGUCGAGCGAACGGACGAGAAGCUUGCUUCUCUGAUGUUAGCGGCGGACGGGUGAGUAACACGUGGAUAACCUACCUAUAAGACUGGGAUAACUUCGGGAAACCGGAGCUAAUACCGGAUAAUAUUUUGAGCCGCAUGGUUCAAAAGUGAAAGACGGUCUUGCUGUCACUUAUAGAUGGAUCCGCGCUGCAUUAGCUAGUUGGUAAGGUAACGGCUUACCGAGGCAACGAUGCAUAGCCGACCUGAGAGGGUGAUCGGCCACACUGGAACUGAGACACGGUCCAGACUCCUACGGGAGGCAGCAGUAGGGAAUCUUCCGCAAUGGGCGAAAGCCUGACGGAGCAACGCCGCGUGAGUGAUGAAGGUCUUCGGAUCGUAAAACUCUGUUAUUAGGGAAGAACAUAUGUGUAAGUAACUGUGCACAUCUUGACGGUACCUAAUCAGAAAGCCACGGCUAACUACGUG